AGCUGCAGCUCUCCCUGGUGCGUUCUACAAACACGCUGAAGGGCGCUUUAUUCAUCGCUUCUGACGCUGACAGCCACUGUCCAAACGUCCAUAUUUUACGAGUUUGGCAUGAGAACGGGUUGACAAUAAAGAGCCAGUACCAAGCAGCAACCGUUAGCCCAGAACUUCAGCGUGGGCAGGUAGGAUUAACCAUUGAGCGAAUAUUAUAAGAAUUGAUAAGAGUGUGGUGUAGACCUGGUCCAUAUGAAAAAUUCACUGGGAUAAGUAGUAAUGCCAGAUGAUUUGGCACUACCUUGACACUGAAUUAACUUUAUCAGAAAGCUUUGUAAAAAGGGGGGAUUUGUGCUGAGAAUUUCGACAAUUUAUAAAAUGUGAUUUAGUGUCAGAAGCAGAGCCAAUAGUGUGCAAGGGAUAGCUGCUGUGGAAGGUGCAUCUAUUGUAAGCCCUUGCACCACAGUGUGAACAA
Etheostoma cragini (Arkansas darter) is the source of this 466-nucleotide long non-coding RNA. RefSeq lists it as uncharacterized. NCBI's taxonomy places the organism in Eukaryota, Metazoa, Chordata, Actinopteri, Perciformes, Percidae. The transcript has 3 exons. The record is from RefSeq and is a predicted model, not a curated record.